CCUACGGGAGGCUGCAGUCGAGAAUCAUUCACAAUGGGGGAAACCCUGAUGGUGCGACGCCGCGUGGGGGAAUGAAGGUCUUCGGAUUGUAAACCCCUGUCAUGUGGGAGCAAAUUAAAAAGAUAGUACCACAAGAGGAAGAGACGGCUAACUCUGUGCCAGCAGCCGCGAGAAUACAGAGGUCUCAAGCGUUGUUCGGAAUCACUGGGCGUAAAGCGUGCGUAGGCUGUUUCGUAAGUCGUGUGUGAAAGGCGCGGGCUCAACCCGAGGACGGCACAUGAUACUGCGAGACUAGAGUAAUGGAGGGGGAACCGGAAUUCUCGGUGUAGUCGUGAAAGGCGUAGAUAUCGAGAGGAACACUCGUGGCGAAGGCGGGUUCCUGGACAUUAACUGACGCUGAGGCACGAAGGCCAGGGGAGCGAAAGGGAUUAGAUACCCCAGUAGUC
RNAcentral lists this ribosomal RNA (446 nucleotides) under uncultured bacterium. RNAcentral describes it as "partial 16S ribosomal RNA". It matches the Rfam family "Bacterial small subunit ribosomal RNA", at positions 338 to 795 of the family's 1533-position model. The record is from RNAcentral.